RNAcentral lists this long non-coding RNA (1068 nucleotides) under Pogona vitticeps (central bearded dragon). Its description in RNAcentral is "lncRNA (ENSPVIG00000007536.1)". The record is from RNAcentral. Lineage: Eukaryota; Metazoa; Chordata; Lepidosauria; Squamata; Agamidae.
CAGGAUACAUCCCUCUCUACCACAAGCCAUUAUGCACCACAACUCUAUAUAAGCAGGCUUGUCUAUUUUUGUCUAUUUUUGUCCUUCCUUCAUUGGAGACGGAUCGCUCCCAGGCUCCUACCAUGAGGUUCCUUCUGCUCUUCUCUCUCGCUCUCCUGCUCAUCCCGGUUCUUGCAGACCCCGAGAAACUUUGCCAGAAGAUGAACGGCUUCUGCGUCGACAAACUUGCCCGUUGCCCCACUCCGCUCAAUGAGAUGCUUCCAUUCAAGUGUCGUGAAGGCCGAAAAUGCUGCAAGCGCCCGUAAAGCUUCAGGCCCCUGGGUUGCAGCAUGUUUUCGUUAGUCAACCUGAUUUCCUGAUGGCUGAUCUUUAUUUGGGGAAGCCAGUGAGGCUCUACCUACUUCAUGCCAAACAAGGCAUGGAUAAAUCCACAGGAUCUCAUCAUUAAAUGCAUGAUUUAAAAUGAAGAAUGGACGUCCUGUUCUUUUAAUGAGUUCAUUGGGCUAGAUCAAAAUAUUUUUCCACCUGAGGCAAAGGAUAAGAAAUUAUGUUGGAAAGAUAGCCCACAUUGGUUGUUGAAGAUGUUUUGGGCUGUUUGGCCAUGUUCUGGAGGUUGUUCUUCCUAACGUUUUGCCAGUUUCUGUGGCCAGCCUCUUCAGAGGAAAGGAGUUAGAACUCUGUAUGUGACCAGAGCCCCAAAAAAACUACAACAACCAUUGGAUCCUGGCUGUGAAAACCUUCAAAAAUACCUAUUUCCACUUUAGUUACACAAUGAUGAUGGAAGAACACUCUCCACCUUGUCUAAGACAGUAAAUUAGCUGGGGGUGAGGUGGGGUGAAGGGAACACAGUCGAGGAGGAACACAGGGGGACCUUCACCUACCUCUGGCAAGGAGGCACAGAGGUGUGGGCUGUUCUGUGUGCCGAUCUGUACAAUGCUGUAAUGCAACGGUUCCCGACUUUGGGUAAUGCUGUCAUUUUCUGGUAUUGCGGUAUUGUGGGGCACCUUUAUACUAAAGGGGAAAGAUUAGGAGGACCUGCUGAGCACACUUGUACAUUGCUGUCACAUG